Molecule: ribosomal RNA, 508 nt
Filed under: uncultured bacterium
Lineage: Bacteria
Description: partial 16S ribosomal RNA
Rfam family: Bacterial small subunit ribosomal RNA
Source: RNAcentral
GAUGAACGCUAGCUACAGGCUUAACACAUGCAAGUCGAGGGGAAACGACAUCGAAAGCUUGCUUUUGAUGGGCGUCGACCGGCGCGCGGGUGAGUAACGCGUAUCCAACCUGCCCAUCACUUGGGAAUAACCUUGCGAAAGUAAGACUAAUGCCCAAUGAUAUCCCACGAAGACAUCUGAAUGGGAUUAAAGAUUUAUCGGUGAUGGAUGGGGAUGCGUCUGAUUAGCUUGUUGGCGGGGUAACGGCCCACCAAGGCGACGAUUAGUAGGGGUUCUGAGAGGAAGGUCCCCCACAUUGGAACUGAGACACGGUCCAAACUCCUACGGGAGGCAGCAGUGAGGAAUAUUGGUCAAUGGGCGAGAGCCUGAACCAGCCAAGUAGCGUGCAGGAUGACGGCCCUAUGGGUUGUAAACUGCUUUUAUAAGGGAAUAAAGUGAGUCUCGUGAGACUUUUUGCAUGUACCUUAUGAAUAAGGACCGGCUAAUUCCGUGCCAGCAGCCGCAGUAA